CCAACGUGGAUACCCUAGGAGGUCACUCUCCCCAGGCUCUGUCCAGGUGGCAUAGGGGAGCAUAGGGCUCUGCCCCGUGAUGUACAGUCCCUUUCCACGAUGUUGGAGAAGAAGCUGGGCCUUGUGUCUGCACCUGCAUAUUCCUCAGAGUCNNNNNNNCAGUGACUGAGGAGAUAAACCAUGCAGGAAACAAUG
This is a small nucleolar RNA of Cavia aperea (Brazilian guinea pig), 195 nucleotides long. Its record names the gene SNORA73. It matches the Rfam family "Small nucleolar RNA SNORA73 family". From Rfam's summary of the family: U17 (SNORA73A and SNORA73B) also known as E1 belongs to the H/ACA class of small nucleolar RNAs (snoRNAs). The record is from Ensembl. Lineage: Eukaryota; Metazoa; Chordata; Mammalia; Rodentia; Caviidae.